GCCUAGUUCAGUCAGUAGAACAUGAGACUCUUAAUAUCGGAGUCGUGAGUUCAAGCCCCACGUUGGACA
Non-coding RNA from Podarcis lilfordi (Lilford's wall lizard), 69 nucleotides. Lineage: Eukaryota; Metazoa; Chordata; Lepidosauria; Squamata; Lacertidae. The record is from the annotation of a GenBank genome assembly.